This 164-nucleotide ribosomal RNA is filed under the name Euphorbia komaroviana. RNAcentral's name for it is "5.8S ribosomal RNA". It matches the Rfam family "5.8S ribosomal RNA". From Rfam's summary of the family: 5.8S ribosomal RNA (5.8S rRNA) is a component of the large subunit of the eukaryotic ribosome. It is transcribed by RNA polymerase I as part of the 45S precursor that also contains 18S and 28S rRNA. RNAcentral also lists the same sequence under 4 other names. The record is from RNAcentral. Lineage: Eukaryota; Viridiplantae; Streptophyta; Magnoliopsida; Malpighiales; Euphorbiaceae.
AAAACGACUCUCGGCAACGGAUAUCUCGGCUCUCGCAUCGAUGAAGAACGCAGCGAAAUGCGAUACUUGGUGUGAAUUGCAGGAUCCCGCGAACCAUCGAGUCUUUGAACGCAAGUUGCGCCCGAAGCCUUUUGGCUGAGGGCACGUCUGCCUGGGUGUCACUC